Beta vulgaris subsp. vulgaris (sugar beet) is the source of this 820-nucleotide long non-coding RNA. RefSeq lists it as uncharacterized. Lineage: Eukaryota; Viridiplantae; Streptophyta; Magnoliopsida; Caryophyllales; Amaranthaceae. The transcript has 2 exons. The record is from RefSeq and is a predicted model, not a curated record.
AAUUUCCUUCCACUUUCUUUCUUUUCCUUCCAAAUUCCUUCUACCAAACAAACUGUAAAAGAAAAUCAAACUCUCUCUCCUCUCCCGGUGAAACCCCGACCCCUCCCUUCUGUUCGCUGCCUUCUCGUCGGCCUCCCUUGCUUGCUGGUGAAGUCGCGUCGAACCUCGCCGCCGCUCGCCACUGCACCAUCGCAAAUUUCUCUCUCCUCUCCUCUAACUUUCGGCUGAGCCUAGCUUCAUGGCGUUGUCUUGUCGGCGCUGCUGUCAUCCAUCGCGGUCUGUGGCGGUGUUGUUGAUGUUGUUGUCGUCGUUGCGGCGCCCUUCUUGCGGGUGUUGAAUCACCACUUGUCGUCACUCUCUCCCUUCUUGUUGUUGCUGCUGCCGAGGUUUAUGUCCCCUGUUGCUGUCGUUGUUGAUGGUGCUGCUGCUGCUGGGUGGUGGUCCGCCACCACCGCACAUUGCCGCUGCAAUUGCUGGCCUUCUUUCUCUCUUCUCGCGUUGCUAUGUUGCUGCGUUGUCGCCGUCGUGGCGUGGGUCUCCUCUUUUUGUAUCUUAAAUGUUUCAGGUUGAAGCCGUGAGUUAUUCUUUUGCAAGUUGAAGCUGAUACGAGAUGGUGCAGUAUUAUAUUUGUUAUUGAAGUGAGGACACUCCACUGGUAAUAGUUAAUCGUUUAUAAUCUAUAAUCUAUUUCUUCAUUUAAGAAUCGUUAGCUAGUGCUCUUGAUUAUCUGUUGGUUGUUGCUCCGCGAAAGCGUUGAGAUUGUUGAGCUUUGAGAUUUGGAAAUAUUUUAUAAAUUGAAUUUGCAAACAGGUUUAAAUCA